Molecule: non-coding RNA, 72 nt
Organism: Phthorimaea operculella (potato tuberworm)
Lineage: Eukaryota; Metazoa; Arthropoda; Insecta; Lepidoptera; Gelechiidae
Source: the annotation of a GenBank genome assembly
CCGCCCGUAGUUCAGUUGGCAGAGCAGUGGGGUGGUUCCUCACGGUGCCAGGUUCAAGUCCCGGCGGUCGCU